UACGAAGGGUGCAAGCGUUACUCGGAAUUACUGGGCGUAAAGCGUGCGUAGGUGGUUUGUUAAGUCUGUCGUGAAAUCCCCGGGCUCAACCUGGGAAUGGCGAUGGAUACUGGCAAGCUAGAGUGAGGUAGAGGAGAGUGGAAUUCCCGGUGUAGCAGUGAAAUGCGUAGAGAUCGGGAGGAACAUCAGUUGCGAAGGCGGCUCUCUGGACCAUCACUGACACUGAGGCACGAAAGCGUGGGGAGCAAACAGG
RNAcentral lists this ribosomal RNA (253 nucleotides) under uncultured bacterium. RNAcentral describes it as "partial 16S ribosomal RNA". It matches the Rfam family "Bacterial small subunit ribosomal RNA", at positions 524 to 776 of the family's 1533-position model. The record is from RNAcentral. RNAcentral also lists the same sequence under 1 other name.